UUCAAUUUCCCUUGAAAAGAAUAUCCAGCC
Molecule: non-coding RNA, 30 nt
Filed under: Rattus norvegicus (Norway rat)
Lineage: Eukaryota; Metazoa; Chordata; Mammalia; Rodentia; Muridae
Source: RNAcentral